AUCCCACUUAUGUACUGUAUGGUCCUCCAAGAUAGCCCUAUCCCACUAAUGUACUGUAUGGUCCUCCAAGGUACAUAGCCCUAUCCCACUAAUGUACUGUAUGGUCCUCCAAGGUACAUAGCCCUAUCCCACUAAUGUACUGUAUGGUCCUCCAAGGUACAUAGCCCUAUCCCACUAAUGUACUGUAUGGUCCUCCAAGGUACAUAGCCCUAUCCCACUAAUGUACUGUAUGUUCCUCCAAGGUACAUAGCCCUAUCCCACUAAUGUACUGUAUGGUCCUCCAAAGUAGCCCUAUCCCACUAAUGUACUGUAUGGUCCUCCAAGAUAGCCCUAUCCCACUAAUGUACUGUAUGGUCCUCCAAGAUAGCCCUAUCCCACUAAUGUACUGUAUGGUCCUCCAAGGUACAUAGCCCUAUCCCACUAAUGUACUGUAUGGUCCUCCAAGGUAGCCCUAUCCCACUAAUGUACUGUAUGGUCCUCCAAGAUAGCCCUAUCCCACUAAUGUACUGUAUGGUCCUCCAAGGUACAUAGCCCUAUCCCACUAAUGUACUGUAUGGUCCUCCAAGGUACAUAGCCCUAUCCCACUAAUGUACUGUAUGGUCCUCCAAGGUACAUAGCCCUAUCCCACUAAUAUACUGUAUGGUCCUCCAAGGUAGCCCUAUCCCACUAAUGUACUGUAUGGUCCUCCAAGGUACAUAGCCC
Long non-coding RNA from Nematostella vectensis (starlet sea anemone), 702 nucleotides. RefSeq lists it as uncharacterized. The record is from RefSeq and is a predicted model, not a curated record. The transcript is spliced from 2 exons. NCBI's taxonomy places the organism in Eukaryota, Metazoa, Cnidaria, Anthozoa, Actiniaria, Edwardsiidae.